This 460-nucleotide ribosomal RNA is filed under the name uncultured bacterium. RNAcentral's name for it is "partial 16S ribosomal RNA". It matches the Rfam family "Bacterial small subunit ribosomal RNA", at positions 338 to 795 of the family's 1533-position model. The record is from RNAcentral.
CCUACGGGAGACAGCAGUGAGGAAUAUUGGUCAAUGGGCGCGAGCCUGAACCAGCGAAGUAGCGUGAAGGAUGACUGCCCUACGGGUUGUAAACUUCUUUUAUAAAGGAAUAAAGUGAGGCACGUGUGCCAUUUUGUAUGUACUUUAUGAUUAAGGAUCGGCUAAAUACGUGCCAGCAGCCGCGGUAAUACGGAGGAUCCGAGCGUUAUCCGGAUUUAUUGGGUUUAAAGGGAGCGUAGAUGGGUUGUUAAGUCAGUUGUGAAAGUUUGCGGCUCAACCGUAAAAUUGCAAUGGAUACUGGCAGUCUUGAGUGCAGUUGAGGUAGGCGGAAUUCGUGGUGUAGCGGUGAAAUGCUUAGAUAUCACGAAGAACACCGAUUGCGAAGGCAGCUUACUAAACUGCCACUGACAUUGAGGCUCGAAAGUGUGGGUAUCAAACAGGAUUAGAUACCCCAGUAGUC